RNAcentral lists this ribosomal RNA (253 nucleotides) under uncultured bacterium. Its description in RNAcentral is "partial 16S ribosomal RNA". It matches the Rfam family "Bacterial small subunit ribosomal RNA", at positions 524 to 776 of the family's 1533-position model. The record is from RNAcentral.
UACGUAGGUGACCAGCGUUGUCCGGAUUUACUGGGCGUAAAGAGCGCGCAGGCGGUCGUUCAAGUCGAGUGUGAAAGCCCCCGGCUCAACUGGGGAGGGUCACUCGAUACUGAUCGACUCGAAGGCAGGAGAGGGAAGCGGAAUUCCCGGUGUAGUGGUGAAAUGCGUAGAUAUCGGGAGGAACACCGGUGGCGAAGGCGGCUUCCUGGACUGUCCCUGACGCUGAGGCGCGAAAGCGUGGGUAGCAAACAGG